GGCCUUAAAUAAUGUGUGAC
RNAcentral lists this ribosomal RNA (20 nucleotides) under Aedes simpsoni. RNAcentral's name for it is "partial 28S ribosomal RNA". Lineage: Eukaryota; Metazoa; Arthropoda; Insecta; Diptera; Culicidae. The record is from RNAcentral.